CCAACUAACAACAUCAUGAUUUCAAACAUUUUCCAUUCACAUUCCUAAAACUUUACACUUCCAAAACACAUGCUUCGUUACGCCAACACUUUAGAUCCCACCGCACUAUGAUUCAAUGUGACUUCCUUUGGAUUUCAAUACCAUGCGAUUUGGAAAUCAUUUUAUUUUACUUUUCGUUUUGCGCCACUGUUUCGUACCAGUGUAUUUCAAGCGGUUGACACUCGAAAAUCGAAUGCAAAGGUAUUCGAUCAAACCUCUUAGGAUCAAAAUCAAACAAACAAAGGAAUCAUGGCUGGUAAAGACGCUAAAUUUGGAGUUAAUGCAAAAUCCAAUCUAAGUGCGCUUGGAUUUCCGCCUAAGAUAAUUGACAUCAUAAACCAAUACGGAAUAGAUGAAACCGAUGUACCAGCUGUAGUGACUUUUCUGUCGCAUUUGAAAAUCGCCACAGUAACAGAGGACGAUCAUCAGCUGUCGAUUGCGUUUCCGCAUCACACUAUCGAGGAAGAAAGGAGUUACUCGCAGUAUCCUCCAGCCCGAUCAGAAUCAGGCAGGCAUCGCAUCAUACGAUGAUCUUUGCGCUAACUUAUCGGUGUUUGAAACAGAAUCUCCGAAGCUGGCCAUAGAUUCGGCAACCACGACGGUUCCAAUCCAGCCUUCAUGCAAUACAAAUACUGCGGAAAAAGCAGCAGCAGAAGAGGAUACAGGAUCGGUGGUAAAAACGUUUCACUGGGUGCCAUUAGAGGAAACAACCAAAACGCUGUUGCUUUCACUUGCCGUACCGGACACGGCUCCACCAGAAAUACCGAUAGAGACACCUUCAUUCAGCUCAAACUUUUCAACGGAAACUCCGAUGGU
Topomyia yanbarensis is the source of this 855-nucleotide long non-coding RNA. RefSeq lists it as uncharacterized. The transcript is spliced from 4 exons. The record is from RefSeq and is a predicted model, not a curated record. NCBI's taxonomy places the organism in Eukaryota, Metazoa, Arthropoda, Insecta, Diptera, Culicidae.